ACCGUCGAUAGACGGCAACUGAUCACGAUUGAAGGCAUCAAUCAUAGUAAGAUGAUCCUUCCCACCGUCCAAUUGAGAGUCGUACGGCCUCACCUUACCAAGGUAUGUACACUUGCAGUUGCCAGCUACCUUCCAGGAGGUUACGACCUCAUCCUAGGGCAUGACCUGAAGUCUCCCAUUACCAAGGGCCCGCUGAGAGGUAUUGCACCUCCGGUACCCGCCACAGGUCCAGUCGACCUCAACUCUCUGCCAGUGCCACUUGGCAGCACUGAGCAGUGCCAAGCUCCGUCAGCAUGGACGUAGAGCCACCACAGAACUUGACUUCUGCGCCUGGCCCCGAGCUAGCGCCGGCGCCUAACCUUAUCAAGGAUCCUCCUACAGGAGAUCCUCCAACAGGCAUGGAGCUUACCACAGCCCAUGGCCAAUCCAAGGUCCAUGAGUCUUCUUCACCCUCACCACUGUCGCCCGAGGAUGAACCUCCGGCAGACCUAACAUUCUCACCUCAUCUGGAAAACCAGGAACUGCCCGACCAGGAGUCAGCCUGGAGUUUUCCCCUUAUGACGGUUGUCGCAGCAGCCGAAGUGAGGGGCUCCCCUGCAGUAGGUUCCACCUCUACGACGAAUGCUGCAGAUACCAAAGUAGGGUGUUCUCCUGAAAUCCCUCAGGCUACCACUGCCGCUGCUCCUGACGGCGUUUCUGGCCUUACCCCAGAGUCGGUGCCUCCGUCUACUCCUAGGACUGGUAUAGCCAGGUCCUGGAGGAAUAAGAAGAAGAAGAAGAAGGGACGUAGCAAAUCAUUAACACACUAACCAAAGAGCCACAUGCUCUCCUUGACACCUGUGCCCGAGGUACAGUGUCGCAUUCAAUUGCAGAGUGAUCCUGGCACCUACCCAGAGAAGGUAGCCAGCCUGAUCUCUGCCAGUAGAACUAACCCUCUAACCCCUAGCCAUUGUAAUACUAACCCUCACUUAAAUAUAAUUACCUCAUUACAUUUCUAUCCUGGUAAUGCACUAACCACUCAUCAGCCUCACGCAUCAUUACCUCACCUCAUGUAUUUUAACAAUUCCUGCGGCACAUCACUGCUGUGCGUACCACACUCUGGAAUGAUUGCGUCUUCAUUUAACUAUAAUGAGUAGGUUAGGCUAAUGAUUUAGUACCAGGGCAUUAGGUUAGUAGCAAGUAGAAUUUUCAAGUAACCUUAUCUAGGGGUAGAGUAGACUGUCAUCACAGACAACCUGUAGUUAUUACUUAGGCUAGACUACAUUACUACAUUAAGUUAGUCCACUUAGCAUCUCCGCCUAUAAGUUAGGUAGGCCACUGUAGUUAGCUGUAUCGCUGCUCUAAAAAACUUCAAGUUAGAGUAGGAGAACUGGGUAGUCAAGACGAUCAACUUAUUUAAGCCAAGGCCUUCACGCCCGAAAGGGAGUGAAUGCCUUCUUAACAGGGGGAGCUGCUACGUUUAUAGAAUGCCUCACCUUCCCAGCAGGUUUUUAGUAAUAUUAGUUAUAAAAGAAGCAGCCAUGCCUUCUCCUAAAGCAACUGAUGUUGGGAGAGAGAGCAUGUCGUAGGGAGGUAUUUCCGGUCUGACGGAAGCUUAGGGUAAGAGAGGCAAGUCACAAGAGUAGCUAGGCUUCGAAAUGGAUCUUAGGGACCUCUACAAUAAGACCUCUUUUUCCUUCCCAAUUUGCUGGCUGUGGUGAUCACUUUUCAGGCAGUGCCCGAGGCGGUAUUUGGAAGUCCCGUGAUACGAAGACAAUCAGGAUCUCCCCCAGUCGACUGCAGGACGUGACCCCGGACAGAUGUCCAGCCGGCCAGCCUCCCACACUUAAGCCUAUCGGCUCGGCGUACUGGCGGGCAUGAACCCCAGACCUGAACAAAGUCAGGCCGCAUUCUUCCACAAUGAUACACUGAAUAUUGCAUCCAGAUUCCCUGAGUCACGUACGAAGUCUGUCUGCCCGCAAGUGUUGCAUUACCCAAGUUUAUGAAACCAGCUUGUAUGAAUCACAUCUUAGCCAGCUAUCCAUUUGUGAGAGAUUAUAAGUCCCAACGUGGGGACCAAUAGCAUUUACUUUUCUCCAGGCCAGUACGAGCCUUUUGUAAAUAAAUAGCUGUAAAGUAA
Long non-coding RNA from Macrobrachium nipponense, 2119 nucleotides. RefSeq lists it as uncharacterized. The transcript has 2 exons. NCBI's taxonomy places the organism in Eukaryota, Metazoa, Arthropoda, Malacostraca, Decapoda, Palaemonidae. The record is from RefSeq and is a predicted model, not a curated record.